GAUGAACGCUGGCGGCGUGCCUAAUACAUGCAAGUCGAGCGAACGGACGAGAAGCUUGCUUCUCUGAUGUUAGCGGCGGACGGGUGAGUAACACGUGGAUAACCUACCUAUAAGACUGGGAUAACUUCGGGAAACCGGAGCUAAUACCGGAUAAUAUUUUGAACCGCAUGGUUCAAAAGUGAAAGACGGUCUUGCUGUCACUUAUAGAUGGAUCCGCGCUGCAUUAGCUAGUUGGUAAGGUAACGGCUUACCAAGGCAACGAUGCAUAGCCGACCUGAGAGGGUGAUCGGCCACACUGGAACUGAGACACGGUCCAGACUCCUACGGGAGGCAGCAGUAGGGAAUCUUCCGCAAUGGGCGAAAGCCUGACGGAGCAACGCCGCGUGAGUGAUGAAGGUCUUCGGAUCGUAAAACUCUGUUAUUAGGGAAGAACAUAUGUGUAAGUAACUGUGCACAUCUUGACGGUACCUAAUCAGAAAGCCACGGCUAACCACGU
RNAcentral lists this ribosomal RNA (496 nucleotides) under uncultured bacterium. RNAcentral describes it as "partial 16S ribosomal RNA". It matches the Rfam family "Bacterial small subunit ribosomal RNA", at positions 28 to 506 of the family's 1533-position model. The record is from RNAcentral.